Molecule: long non-coding RNA, 1448 nt
Filed under: Amborella trichopoda
Lineage: Eukaryota; Viridiplantae; Streptophyta; Magnoliopsida; Amborellales; Amborellaceae
Description: long non-coding RNA (ATRI_LNC004056)
Source: RNAcentral
UCAUAUCCCAAAAAGGGGCACACACCACUCUCUCAUGUUUGAUCUCUCUCUCCCACAUUGUGAAAGAACCUAAGGGUUUAGGUUAUGAAGUUCUUCUCUCAUAUAUCUCAAAUAUGAAUUUACGGCUAAGGGUUUUAGGGUUUAGCAAAAAGAGAAUCCAUCUCUUUCAAACUAGGUUGCUAAGAGAAUUCACCUAGGGUUUUAGUUUGUGAUCAAAGGGGUUCAUAUUCCAUUGGUGUGGCUUGGCCAAAAUUUGCUUUUCCAGUUCGAGAUUGAAGCUAGACCUUUGAUCACGCGUCAUCGGAUGGUGGUGACUCGGUGUGGGGUGUAAUAAGCCCGGUUGAAGUAAUCUCCGGUGCUCUUCUUUUUUUAUUUCUUGCAAUCAUAUCUUUUAUUCUCAAGCAUAGUGCAUGUUUCAAUGGCAUCAAGUUGUUAAGGUCUUGGUUUUAUUGUUAUGUUGAUUUUAUUUUGAAAUUUAUCUUAUUAUAAUAAAGACUACCUGUAAGUGAUCUUUUGUCAAAAGAAAGAGGUGAAAAAAAAAAAUGUAUUCCCCGGUAAAAGAUUAUAUAUCUUUCUUUCAAUCCUUACCCUAUAUGACUUCUACUGCAAUAAAUUUUGAAGGGAAAAGAGCUAUAGACAUGAAAAAAAUUUGAAGAAGUGUAAAUGUGAAUAAGAAUCGACUGAUCUGAAAUGAGAAUUUGAAGAAAUUGGUCCAGUUUCUAGUCAAAAAUGAUAAUCCGUCGGUUCUCUAUAGAAGUGGCCAGGUCUGCUAGGGAACUAGGCGAUUAAUUGCUGCUGUUUUUUUUUUUUGGCUAGUUCGGAGAUAGGAAUUGAACUUGAGAGGUAGUAUUACUAACAUCAAAUGCUAACCACUUAUACUCAAUCCCAAUUCCUAGUUCCACAUUUUUUUAUUUGUUUUUUAGAUUUUAAUUGUAAUUUUUAAUUUUUUAUUUGGUAUCAUUGACCAACUGUCUUGGCCGGACUGGACUGCCAAUCCAAAUUGACAAUUGGCUUAUCAAAACCGAUUUUCUGGAUGGCCAGCUCACCUGACCGUUUUGGGCUUUUACAUAUUGGACAGGACCGAUUCAGGCUUCUACAACUUUGGAUUCCAUAUAAGAAUCACCAUAUGCUUAUUUCAAAAAAGAAAAUAUGAAUAUUCAGCCCAUAACCACUUGAAUCUGUCCCUUCAAAAAUUGGAUGGUCCCUCUUUAUUCUUGGGAAGUUAUUUUUUAUUAUCGCGAUUUGGAAAUUCCUUUUUUUGAGGUUACUAAGUUCACGAGUAAUAUUCCAGUAAUGGACAAUUAACCACUCAAGCUCAAGCACAAUCCCUCAAAGAAUAAUAUCUUGCUUUUUUAUUUUAAGGAAUGAAAAACAACUUCUUGAAAUAGGGCCAUUUGAAUAUUGGAAUUUUAAAGGCUGAUAAAUUUGAAUAGGGACAAAGAGUGUCC